Molecule: small RNA, 90 nt
Filed under: Yersinia enterocolitica
Lineage: Bacteria; Pseudomonadati; Pseudomonadota; Gammaproteobacteria; Enterobacterales; Yersiniaceae
Description: partial RtT sRNA
Rfam family: RtT RNA
About the family: This family represents a bacterial cis-regulatory element known as RtT RNA. The exact function of RtT is unknown although it is thought that it may be involved in changing the cellular response in relation to amino acid starvation.
Source: RNAcentral
CAGGGUAUCAAAUCGUUAGGGAUGAGAACCGUAAAAGGUUCGAGCCGAGCGAAGCGAGACAGCAACGCGCAGCGUUGACCCGAAGGGCGA